GCUUCAAACAGACCUCGCGGACAAACUUGAAGUCUUUGAAGUGGAGCUUGAUCUUCCGAACAAAGACACUUUCAGCUCCGCCAGACUUCUGCCACGGGAACCUGAGCCAUAUUUCCCGGAGCUGCCUGAUGAUAAGCCGGGAAUCAAACCCCUGGAGGAAACAGUAUACCAGCAGCGUCAGACACUUCAUGGUUAAAGCCCCUGCCUUGCUGCCUCCUCCCCACUGCGGCGAAGCGAUCCCAUUGGAGGACUGCAA
Cyprinodon variegatus (sheepshead minnow) is the source of this 256-nucleotide long non-coding RNA. RefSeq lists it as uncharacterized. The record is from RefSeq and is a predicted model, not a curated record. NCBI's taxonomy places the organism in Eukaryota, Metazoa, Chordata, Actinopteri, Cyprinodontiformes, Cyprinodontidae. The transcript has 3 exons.